CUUAUCGAGAGUGGCGGAGGGACUGGCCCGAUGAAGCCCGACAACCUGCGUAAGCAAGGUGCCAAUUCCAGCGAUUUGAUCGACAGAUGAGG
This 92-nucleotide non-coding RNA is filed under the name human gut metagenome. RNAcentral describes it as "SAM riboswitch (S box leader)". It matches the Rfam family "SAM riboswitch aptamer (S box leader)". From Rfam's summary of the family: The SAM riboswitch is found upstream of a number of genes which code for proteins involved in methionine or cysteine biosynthesis in Gram-positive bacteria. RNAcentral also lists the same sequence under 1 other name. The record is from RNAcentral.